Molecule: ribosomal RNA, 305 nt
Filed under: uncultured bacterium
Lineage: Bacteria
Description: bacterial SSU rRNA
Rfam family: Bacterial small subunit ribosomal RNA
Source: RNAcentral
CCUACGGGAGGCAGCAGUGAGGAAUAUUGGUCAAUGGCCGAGAGGCUGAACCAGCCAAGUCGCGUGAGGGAUGACGGCCCUACGGGUUGUAAACCUCUUUUGUCGGGGAGCAAGACCCGCCUCGUGCAGGCGGAGCGAGAGUACCCGAAGAAAAAGCAUCGGCUAACUCCGUGCCAGCAGCCGCGGUAAUACGUAGGGGGCAAGCGUUAUCCGGAUUUACUGGGCGUAAAGGGAGCGUAGACGGCAUAGCAAGUCUGAUGUGAAAGAUCGGGGCUCAACCCCGGGCCUGCAUUGGAAACUGUUAA